Molecule: ribosomal RNA, 253 nt
Filed under: uncultured bacterium
Lineage: Bacteria
Description: partial 16S ribosomal RNA
Rfam family: Bacterial small subunit ribosomal RNA
Source: RNAcentral
UACGUAGGGUGCAAGCGUUAUCCGGAAUUAUUGGGCGUAAAGAGCUCGUAGGCGGUUUGUCACGUCUGCUGUGAAAACUGGAGGCUCAACCUUCAGCCUGCAGUGGGUACGGGCAGACUAGAGUGCGGUAGGGGAGAUUGGAAUUCCUGGUGUAGCGGUGGAAUGCGCAGAUAUCAGGAGGAACACCGAUGGCGAAGGCAGAUCUCUGGGCCGUUACUGACGCUGAGGAGCGAAAGCGUGGGGAGCGAACAGG